UACGUAGGCAGCGAGCGUUGUUCGGAGUUACUGGGCGUAAAGAGUGCGUAGGCGGUUCCGCAAGUUUGUCGUGAAAUCUCCCGGCUUAACUGGGAGGGUGCGGCGGAGACUGCGGAGCUGGAGUGUGGGAGAGGUAAGCGGAAUUCCUGGUGUAGCGGUGAAAUGCGUAGAUAUCAGGAGGAACACCGGCUGUGUAGACGGCUUACUGGACCAUGACUGACGCUGAGGCACGAAAGCGUGGGGAGCAAACAGG
Molecule: ribosomal RNA, 253 nt
Filed under: uncultured bacterium
Lineage: Bacteria
Description: partial 16S ribosomal RNA
Rfam family: Bacterial small subunit ribosomal RNA
Source: RNAcentral